CUGUGAAUAAUAUUGUUAAACUAAAUAGAAAUGCAUGGACAUUUAACAAGAGAUUCAUUAUAAGUCAUUCGUUUGUAGUAAAAAAAAAUUUAAUUUAAUGUACCUUAUAUUUUUUUUUAAAUUCUGAGUGGAGCGAGGAAUGUAUUGGGUUUACAAUGAUGUUUAUUUUUUUUUUUUUUUAUGUGAACACUUUUCACCAGAAAGCAUACUCCAAUUAUCAAGUAUAGCACUUUUUCUGAAAGAAAAUGUUCUCUGGGUAAUUUUAGAGAGGUAAUUUUUUGAAAUUCUCAUUGAAAUUUGAGAUAAUGAAGAAAACCUCGGUCAUUAAGUUAAAAAGAUUAAAAGAUUAAAAAUAAGGUUAUCAUUGGCAACCGUUUUUAUUUAUUUUUUGUUAUUAUUAAGUUUUUAUUUUUUUAAUCUGUUUUUAAACAAUCUUUGUUGUUAUGGAAACAUGCAUUAUUGUAAUCAUUUUACUAUAAUAUGACUUACCAAUUGUAUUGUUGACAAAGCCACAUUAUCAAUUGAACUCCACUCAGAAUCGUUUUUUCGUUAGCAAUGGUCUAUCGUUGCUUACAGAUAUAAAUUAAAUUCUUCCCUAUAUACUACCUACCAAACUUCUUACUACAAUAGUGGCUCACCCAUCGUGCAAAAUAUGUCCAUCGUUUUCCAUUUGCUUUUAGUGAAUUAAAAUUUUGGGGUAUAGAUAAUCAAAUAAAAUAAAAAUAGUUUAACGGGUCUUUUGAUAGCCAGUCUGUUAGAUUGUUACGUGUCAUAUUCAAAUAUAUGUACAAAUAGAAAUAUUUAUUAGAGAUAUUUUUUAAAUGUCUAUUUAAAUUAUUGGUCAUAUCAUAUAAUCGCGGUAGGAUAUAUUAAUAAAUGAAUCUGGGCUGGGUUGUAUUAUAUUUAAGUAAAAUAAUUUGGGACGGCACGUAUGACAUUCAACAUAAUUGAAUGAGCUAGGCCAGUAAAUUUUUUAUUUUGGGAGAUCUCGGGCUUGAAAUAUAAAGCCCGUACAGGGCUUUAUUAACUAUUGAAAUUAAAAAUUAAAAAUAUUAAUACAUAAUUUGUUUCAAAAGGUAAACACCAUAUAUUCUUUAUAACAUUUUAAUCUAAUAAAUAAAAUAGGUAUUUUAUAUGUACACGCAUUUAAUUGAUACGUAAAUUUAGAUUUGUAGUAUUAUAAUUUGUAAAUUCAUAUUUUUUUUUUUAUGCUAAAUAUCUAUUGCAAAUAAUUUAAUUUUAUGAAUUAUCCAAUAUGUUUCUAAAGAAAUCUUUAACACCACAGUUAUAAUGUUAUAUUUUGUAUAGUAUAAGGGUAAAAAUAAUUUAAUACAAAUUUAAAUUAUUUAUUUUUUAUUACAUUACAUUAUAAAAUGUAAAUAUAAAGUCGUAUAGCGUUUAAAUAAUAUUCAUUUCUAAUAUAAUUUUGUUAUGAUGUAGUAAAACGUGGUAAAAAGGUAAAUAUUAUUAGUCUUAGUUUAUAUAAUAUUAUUGAAUAUCAGCUGAUAUGUAUUUAGAAAUAAAACUAAAUAUUAUAUAAUAUUUUAAUUAUCAACAAAAUAUAAAAUAAAUAUCAUGUAUUUAGUUCUAGAAUAAUAAUAAAAAAAUGUUAAUUCACUCAUGUAUGUAUUCAUUUUAUUUAGGAUUUAUAAUUGUGCUUUGUGCACAACAGUAGCUAUUAUUAUUGUUAUUUUUUCUUCUUAUUUAUUCAUAUUUUUUUUAUAUGCCUUGCAGUAUAGAAAAGUGUGCAGUUACUAAGUUUAUUACAAUUAGUGGCUUAAUUUUGAAAAUGUCAUACCUAAUAGUUACACUUCCCAAACCCACAAAAUAUCCCGUCUCUCAGUCCACAACUUACGAAAAAUUAAUAGUUGUAAAGUGAAAACUUUAAUGAAGUGCAUUGUGAACUGUGAAAAUUUAAUAAAUUCAUCUAUUA
This 1933-nucleotide long non-coding RNA is filed under the name Cinara cedri. Lineage: Eukaryota; Metazoa; Arthropoda; Insecta; Hemiptera; Aphididae. The record is from RNAcentral.